GGAGGGUGCGAGCGUUAUCCGGAUUUACUGGGCGUAAAGCGCGUGCAGGCGGAUUGGAGAGUUGGAUGUGAAAGCUCCCGGCUCAACUGGGAGAGGUCGUUCAAUACUUCCAGUCUUGAGUGCAGUAGAGGGAAGUGGAAUUCCAGGUGUAGUGGUGAAAUGCGUAGAUAUCCGGAGGAACACCAGUGGCGAAAGCGGCUUCCUGGACUGUAACUGACGCUCAGACGCGAAAGCUAGGGUAGCAAACGGGAUUAGAGACCCCGGUAGUCCUAGCUGUAAACGAUGUAGACUUGGCGCAGGAGGGUUUAAAUCCUUCUGUGCCGCAGCAAACGCGAUAAGUCUACCGCCUGGGGACUACGGCCGCAAGGUUAAAACUCAAAGGAAUUGACGGGGGCCCGCACAAGCAGCGGAGCGUGUGGUUUAAUUCGAUGUUACACGAAGAACCUUACCAGGGUUUGACAUGCAGGUGGUAGGGAACCGAAAGGGGACCGACUCUUCGGAGAGCCUGCACAGGUGCUGCAUGGCUGUCGUCAGCUCGUGUCGUGAGAUGUUCGGUUAAGUCCGCUAACGAGCGCAACCCUCGCUGUGUGUUAUACGUGUCACACGGGACUGCCGGUCUUAAGCCGGAGGGAGGUGGGGAUGACGUCAAGUCAGCAUGGCCUAUAUAUCCUGGGCUACACACACGCUACAAUGGCCAACACAACAGGUCGCGAAACCGCGAGGUGGAGCCAAUCCCCAAAGUUGGUCUCAGUUCAGAUCGCAGAAAUGCAACCCGCCUGCGUGAAGACGGAGUUGCUAGUAACCGCAGGUCAGCUAUACUGCGGUGAAUACGUUCCCGGGCCUU
RNAcentral lists this ribosomal RNA (844 nucleotides) under uncultured Chloroflexota bacterium. RNAcentral describes it as "bacterial SSU rRNA". It matches the Rfam family "Bacterial small subunit ribosomal RNA", at positions 527 to 1382 of the family's 1533-position model. Lineage: Bacteria; Bacillati; Chloroflexota. The record is from RNAcentral.